This 75-nucleotide transfer RNA is filed under the name Stegostoma tigrinum. RNAcentral describes it as "tRNA-Leu". It matches the Rfam family "tRNA". From Rfam's summary of the family: Transfer RNA (tRNA) molecules are approximately 80 nucleotides in length. Their secondary structure includes four short double-helical elements and three loops (D, anti-codon, and T loops). Lineage: Eukaryota; Metazoa; Chordata; Chondrichthyes; Orectolobiformes; Stegostomatidae. The record is from RNAcentral.
GUUGGGGUGGCAGAGCCUGGUAAAUGCAAAAGACCUAAGCUCUUUAUUCCAGAGGUUCAAAUCCUCUCCCCAAUC